Molecule: non-coding RNA, 364 nt
Organism: Macaca mulatta (Rhesus monkey)
Lineage: Eukaryota; Metazoa; Chordata; Mammalia; Primates; Cercopithecidae
Source: RefSeq, a predicted model, not a curated record
GCCCUUCCUUUCUCGAGUGUUUUGAAAUGCAGACCACUGUUUUUGGAGAGGAAGAGGUAUGCAGGAACAAGGGAAAAGAGGACCCCUCCUUCCAGUUCCUGAGGUCCUAGUCAAUGAUGGUUGGUCCAAAAGGAAAAGGAGAGGGAGAAGUUCCCAGACACUGUAGAAGAGCCAUGGAGAGAGGCUGCCACUGGACCUGCAAGGACCUCAGUCAAGGGACACAGCCAGCCCAUGGCCAACCUACAGGGAGAGAGUUGGAGGGAUAAGUACCCGACCUCACCGUCCUUGCUCCAGCAUGGACUUCCUUAUUGACUGAGCCCAGCCAGAGUGGGAAGGUGACGGAGGACUUAGACAGCCCUGAACA